AUAAUACAGCAAACGUUCUACUGGUGAACAAUGCCCAUUUCAUAAAUAUUUGACGUAGGCCCUCACAUCAGGAAUGUAUUGAAGCAUGUACUUAAGUCCAUCCCUGUUCGGCAGAGCACUCAGCUGGAAGCAAAACACAUGCUUAAGUGCAGUGAACAAAAGCAUGUGUGAAGCACAUGCUUAAUUAAGUCCUUUUCUGAAUAGGGUUGUGCAGCUGAGUUGUUGACAUAGUCCUAAUUAUCUUCAAAGCAUUAGAUUGCCAUUAAUUAUGUCUCCCAGCAACUCUGGGCAGGAGGGAAGUAUCAUUAUUCCUAUUGUACAGAUGGAGAGAUUGAGGCAGUGGUUUUAAGUGACAUGGCCGAGGGGUCAUGGCAACUGGCUGAGCUGGGAAGAGAACUCAGGAGCUCCAUACUUGUGUUCUGACCACCAGAGCACACUUCAGGCUCCGAGCAAGUUCUCAGGACAGCCUCUAGCAUUGUAAAGUUUGGGCUUCUCUGCAACAGAGCAAACCUAAAGGCCAGAAAGAUGCAGCACACCAAAGGAGGUCAACAAUGCAGAUGUUACGGUCGGCAAUAAUAAUCUGUUGAAUGCCAGCCUCCGGUACACAUGCAAAGAUGGUUACAAAAGGAAAGCUGGGACAUCCAGUCUCAUUGUGUGUGUAAUGGACAAAGUCACCAAAACACUCCGUUGGACCGAGCCAAAUCUACAUUGUAUUAGGGACCCUGCUCUACCUCCUGUAACUUCCAGCCCCAAACAGACAACAUCAGCACCUAGGACAGAGGCGACUAGUCUUGUCAGCAAAGAAUCAAAGACUUUUACACCAUCUAAACCACCAGUAACUGCAGAGAUUACCACAGUCCCAGUCAUGGCCUCCACACCAUCCUAUGAAAGGGAGAUCACUUCACCACUAGCAGGCCCCGUCUCACAGCUCAGGACUGACAAGCCUUCACGGGAAACACUUGCACCAGCAACAACUGAGAUCAGGUCAUCAAAGGGGCCUGCUUGCGUGAGCACGGAAGACACAACACAACGGCGCACCACAGCCACGCAGGACACACACACGACCCAGCUCUGGACGGAUGAGCCAUUGUUGGAAACAGUUACAACAGAAGGAGAUUGGUCAACAGCAGUGCCAACCAGUGUGACCACAGGAGACUCAACACAGCUUCUCACCGCAGUCACCCAUAACACUAAAGUUUCCGCCCGAGUUAUGCUCUCUUCUGUGGGGUUUCCCAUGUUGCUGACCGUUGUAGCUGUUGUAUUAUGUUGUGUCUGGAGACGGCGAGUCCACAUGAGGCGACAAUACACAAUACCUGUGAUAGCCAUUCCCAUGACCACAGAAGAGUCAGAAGAAAGGGAUGGAACACCACCAGAAGACAAUGGUUCAAACGGUCCAGAACAACGAAGUGAAAGGACAGAGAUGAUGUCAUCAUCUUGUGUGACAUCGACUGGUUGA
RNAcentral lists this long non-coding RNA (1456 nucleotides) under Chrysemys picta bellii (western painted turtle). RNAcentral describes it as "lncRNA (ENSCPBG00000017501.1)". Lineage: Eukaryota; Metazoa; Chordata; Testudines; Emydidae. The record is from RNAcentral.